CUUUUUAAUUGACUUAAAGACUCAUUACAUGUUAUUCACCUCAGUAGAAUGUAGGCUCGAGGAGUGAGGCUUAGAAACAAUAAAUGUGUGUUCAAUGGAAUUAUCUCAUUUGAUCUUUAUAACAAUCCAUUAGGAUAUUAUGGGUAUUACGCCCAUUAUGUAGACUAGAAAAACCAAGACUCAAAGAGAUUAUGUGCAAUUUUCCUAUGUUCUUAUCCCAUAUUGCUUUUAUCUAUGAGAAAGUUAGGGAGACUUCCCCUAACUUAAAGGGUCUUUCUUCAUGUAAUAAAAUAGUUGCCCUAAGUCUUUAAUGGUUAAAUAGUUUCAAAAUUUUUAAAAAUGACAACUUUCAGUUGUUAUUCUUUACUUAUUAAGUCCCUAAUCCAAGCUUCCCAUGGAAAUGUUACUUGGAAGUUUAUAGAAAAAUGAAGCUGUGCUUAGUGGAACAUAAAGACUAUCCAUAUUCUAUUUUCCCCAAGAGUAGUUCUCAUUUCCUUUGGAAAAUAGAGGCCUAAAGGGUUAGCCUGAACUGAACUGCUCAGCCUUUAACAUUUUUGCAAAAUUAUCUUGUUGACAAGUGCAGCAUUAUAAAUUUGAAUCCAUUAGCUAAAAGGAUCCAUAAAUAUUUGAAUAAUGGCCCUUUGCCGUUUUCACUAGUCUAUCAAACACAUCACAUGUCCACUCUUCAAUUUCCUUACUGCUACAAUGAAUAGCUUCAGACCAAAUGCCACCUAAGCCUUCUCACUGUUGAUGUUCUUCCCACAAUUUCAAAAUGGAAGCAGUUAUUAUUGUAUGAGGAUAAGAACACAAAACCAAUGUGGAGAGCCCAACUUUUGGUUACAAUACAAUCCAAAUGUAUCUUCCUCUUCAUAACUUUCUGGGUUGAAAAAAACAAAAAGGACACCUAGCAGAUAGAGGUUCAAGUGAAAAACUUACUUUCAGCUUCAUCUGCAGCUUUGACAGCAUUUGGAAGAGGCAGUAAAAAAAAAAAAUCCUCCCCAUGCAUUCCAUCUCUGGAACAACUUCUCACUCUAUCAUCCCCACAUCAAACAGAAAUGUGCACUGUGUCGUAGGUUCAGCCCUAGAGAAAUUAUCAAUAUUCACACAUCUGGCACAUAUCUGUUGGAAGAAAAAAAAUCCUCAUGCCAUCUGUAUUUUCGCCAUUAUUUUAUAGCAAAAUGUCAGUCGAUCAACAGAAUGAGCUACUCUUCUGUCAUCUUCUCCAACAAUCUCAGAAAUGUAAACCUAACUCUACUCCUUGGCUCUUUACAUGAAGGUCUCCAUUAUGGUGAAGAAGAGAUGAUGUCACCACAAGGAGAAUUAUAGAAUCACAAAUGGACAUAGAUCUGGAAAGAUUGCCUGGCUUCUCUCCCUGUAGGAGACCGAGGAUACUCUGGUAGAGAAAUGAUGUUGCACAAAGAACCCUGGAGUCAAUAGAUGUGAGUUAAGAGGAAACCUGGUCUGAACAGUGGCUAAAGUGCUGGAACUGCAGUCUAGAAGAGCAGAGUUCAAAUAUUGUCUCUGAGGAUCACUCGUCGUGUGACCAAUGGUGAGUCAUUUAAAGUCCCUGAGUCUGGCCAGGUCAGUAAAAUGGGAAUAAUAUCAGUUGUGUCAAGGACUGAUGUAAUAUUCAAAUAAGAUGAUUUGUGUAAAAGCACUUCACAAACUUUAAAGGGUUAUAAUUAGAAUUCAAAGUCUAUCCUCUGUGACACAUUGGAAGAAACACUGGAUUUUUGUUGAAAAGGCCUAGUUUUAAGCCCUGGAUCAGACAUGGGAAAAAACACAUAGACUCUCUGGUCCUCUCUUCCCCUAUCAAAAAACUGAGACGAUUUACUUAGAAGUUGCAAAAUUUCUUCCAGUUCUAAAACCUGUGAUUCUCAUUUAGUAACUGUAUAGCCUUGGGUAAAUCAUUUAGCCUCUCUGAGUCUCUGUUUUCUUACCAAUGAAGUGUGAGUAAUUGAAUUUGACUCAAGUGAACAGACAUUAAUUUAGUGCCUAUCAUAUCCUAGGCACGAUGAUAAGAUUUGGAGAUAUAAAGAUAAAAAUAAAACAUUCUCCAUCCUUAAGAAGCUUACA
RNAcentral lists this long non-coding RNA (2076 nucleotides) under Monodelphis domestica (gray short-tailed opossum). RNAcentral's name for it is "lncRNA (ENSMODG00000050056.1)". Lineage: Eukaryota; Metazoa; Chordata; Mammalia; Didelphimorphia; Didelphidae. The record is from RNAcentral.